RNAcentral lists this ribosomal RNA (301 nucleotides) under uncultured bacterium. RNAcentral's name for it is "partial 16S ribosomal RNA". It matches the Rfam family "Bacterial small subunit ribosomal RNA", at positions 509 to 807 of the family's 1533-position model. The record is from RNAcentral.
CAGUAGCCACGGUAAUACGGAGGGCGCGAGCGUUACACGGAUUUACUGGGCGUAAAGGGCGUGUAGGCGGCCUGGGGCGUCCCAUGCGAAAGGCCACGGCUCAACCGUGGAGGAGCGUGGGAUACGCUCAGGCUAGAGGGUGGGAGAGGGUGGUGGAAUUCCCGGAGUAGCGGUGAAAUGCGCAGAUACCGGGAGGAACGCCGAUGGCGAAGGCAGCCACCUGGUCCACUUCUGACGCUGAGGCGCGAAAGCGUGGGGAGCAAACCGGAUUAGAUACCCCUGUAGUCCCUGUCUCUUAUAC